GGCGAACGCUGGCGGCGUGCUUAACACAUGCAAGUCGAACGGAAAGGCCCUGCUUUUGUGGGGUGCUCGAGUGGCGAACGGGUGAGUAACACGUGAGUAACCUGCCCUUGACUUUGGGAUAACUUCAGGAAACUGGGGCUAAUACCGGAUAGGAGCUCCUGCUGCAUGGUGGGGGUUGGAAAGUUUCGGCGGUUGGGGAUGGACUCGCGGCUUAUCAGCUUGUUGGUGGGGUAGUGGCUUACCAAGGCUUUGACGGGUAGCCGGCCUGGGAGGGUGACCGGCCACAUUGGGAGUGGGAUACGCCCCAGACUCAUACGGGGGGCAGCAGUGGGGAAUAUUGCACAAUGGGCGGAAGCCUGAUGCAGCAACGCCGCGUGCGGGAUGACGGCCUUCGGGUUGUAAACCGCUUUCGCCUGUGACGAAGCGUGAGUGACGGUAAUGGGUAAAGAAGCACCGGCUAACUACGU
This 467-nucleotide ribosomal RNA is filed under the name uncultured bacterium. RNAcentral describes it as "partial 16S ribosomal RNA". It matches the Rfam family "Bacterial small subunit ribosomal RNA", at positions 28 to 506 of the family's 1533-position model. The record is from RNAcentral.